UGAGGAAUAUUGGUCAAUGAGCGCAAGCCUGAACCAGCCAUCCCGCGUGCAGGAAGACGGCGCUAUGCGUUGUAAACUGCUUUUCCAGGGAGAGAAACUUGCGCACGUGUUGCGCAAUUGACGGUACCCUGGGAAUAAGCAUCGGCUAACUCCGUGCCAGCAGCCGCGGUAAUACGGAGGGUGCGAGCGUUAUCCGGAUUCAUUGGGUUUAAAGGGUGCGUAGGCGGACUAUUAAGUCAGUGGUGAAAUCCUGCAGCUUAACUGCAGAACUGCCAUUGAUACUGAUAGCCUUGAGUUUGGUUAAGGUAGGCGGAAUGUGUAAUGUAGCGGUGAAAUGCUUAGAUAUUACACAGAACACCGAUUGCGUAGGCAGCUUACUGAGCCGACACUGACGCUGAGGCACGAAAGCGUGGGGAUCGAACAG
Molecule: ribosomal RNA, 424 nt
Filed under: uncultured bacterium
Lineage: Bacteria
Description: bacterial SSU rRNA
Rfam family: Bacterial small subunit ribosomal RNA
Source: RNAcentral